AACGAACGCUGGCGGCAUGCCUAACACAUGCAAGUCGAACGAGACCUUCGGGUCUAGUGGCGCACGGGUGCGUAACGCGUGGGAACCUGCCCUUAGGUUCGGAAUAACUCCCCGAAAGGGGUGCUAAUACCGGAUAAUGUCUUCGGACCAAAGAUUUAUCGCCUUUGGAUGGGCCCGCGUUGGAUUAGCUAGUUGGUAGGGUAAAAGCCUACCAAGGCGACGAUCCAUAGCUGGUCGGAGAGGAUGAUCAGCCACACUGGGACUGAGACACGGCCCAGACUCCUACGGGAGGCAGCAGUGGGGAAUAUUGGACAAGGGGCGAAAGCCUGAUCCAGCAAUGCCGCGUGAGUGAUGAAGGCCUUAGGGUUGUAAAGCUCUUUUACCCGGGAUGAUAAUGACAGUACCGGGAGAAUAAGCUCCGGCUAACUCCGUG
RNAcentral lists this ribosomal RNA (433 nucleotides) under uncultured bacterium. RNAcentral's name for it is "partial 16S ribosomal RNA". It matches the Rfam family "Bacterial small subunit ribosomal RNA", at positions 29 to 507 of the family's 1533-position model. The record is from RNAcentral.